Lagopus leucura (white-tailed ptarmigan) is the source of this 272-nucleotide long non-coding RNA. RefSeq lists it as uncharacterized. The transcript has 3 exons. NCBI's taxonomy places the organism in Eukaryota, Metazoa, Chordata, Aves, Galliformes, Phasianidae. The record is from RefSeq and is a predicted model, not a curated record.
UCCAACCCCCCCCAGGUGCCUGGAGGUGCUGCUGGGUGCCGGAUGCAGGCCGUGUGUGCUGGCUGACACCGCUGAGCUGCCCAGCCCCCCCGACAUCCAGCUGGCUCACCUCAGGCUGCGGGCGCUGUGCCUGCCUGGUGCAGCAGCUGAUGAGAAGUGGCUGUCGGCGCUGGAAGGGACGCGGUGGCUGGAGCACGUCCGAGCCUGCUUGAGGAAAGCUGUGGAGGUGGCAUCGCUGCUGGCAGGGAAACGGUGCUCUGUUGUCCUGCAGG